UACGUAGGGUGCAAGCGUUGUCCGGAAUUAUUGGGCGUAAAGAGCUCGUAGGCGGUUUGUUGCGUCGGCUGUGAAAUCCCGAGGCUCAACCUCGGGUCUGCAGUCGAUACGAGCAAACUAGAGUGUUGCAGGGGAGACUGGAAUUCCUGGUGUAGCGGUGGAAUGCGCCAGAUAUCAGGAGGAACACCAAUGGCGAAGGCAGAUCUCUGGGCCGUAACUGACGCUGAGGAGCGAAAGCAUGGGGGAGCGAACAGG
Molecule: ribosomal RNA, 255 nt
Filed under: uncultured bacterium
Lineage: Bacteria
Description: partial 16S ribosomal RNA
Rfam family: Bacterial small subunit ribosomal RNA
Source: RNAcentral